UGCAAUCCCUGACGAGGCAACAGCUAGGGUGAUGCCACGGUUACUCCUUACUUUAGCCAACAGCAAAUUAAUAAGGAAAGUCUUACCGGUGCCGCCAGGAGCAUCCAAGAAAAAUAUUUGCCCAUUUCCUUCCUCAAUACUGCCAAGGAUCUGCUGGUAAACGUACUCUACAAAAUUUUCUGAUUUUAAACGAAUGUCAAUUUCUUCUUUUUGACAAUGUGCUCAGUAUCUUGAGGCCCUCGUUGACUCUUCUGAAGACCUACAUGAGGAAGCCAAUUCCACCUGUGGUUAGGCUCCUGAUCACAUUAAGGGAUUAUUAACAAAGGACUGACUAUUACUUACUCUCUGAGCUCUCUGCCUGGAGCCAGAAACAACAGCUGCUGGAAAUAUUUGUAUUUUUUCGGUGUUGUUGCUCCACUCCCACUAGCUCCAUGCUUGUUAUAUUCCUUGCAGAAUCGAUCACGCAGGGAUCACCAUCUUUUAGUCACAGCUUCCUCUACAAAGUUAACCAAAAUAUACUAUAUGGACAUGUUUGUGGAAUAUUGAAUGAAUUCUCAAUUUUAACUCAAGUGAUGAAAAAACAUUACAAGUCUCAGCAAUGAAAGAUGACUAACAAGGGAUACUUGACAUUUCUAUGCUCUGGUCUGUACUUGUUUUUUUAGUAGAAUUUUUUUCUUUUUUAUAAAUUUGCAUUGUCGUCAUCAUUGUACACAUGCCUGGACUAGGAGAAUGUACAUCAUCCUGGGACAGUGUUGGUUAAUGGGCCACAACAAACUGUAUUCACAUUUCUCACACUCGAGAAACCACACAUGUUACUCCCCUAUUACAUUUUUUAAAGCUUGAACA
This is a long non-coding RNA of Hyla sarda, 846 nucleotides long. RefSeq lists it as uncharacterized. The record is from RefSeq and is a predicted model, not a curated record. NCBI's taxonomy places the organism in Eukaryota, Metazoa, Chordata, Amphibia, Anura, Hylidae. The transcript is spliced from 3 exons.